GACGAACGCUGGCGGCGUGCUUAACACAUGCAAGUCGAACGGAAAGGCCCUGCUUGCAGGGUACUCGAGUGGCGAACGGGUGAGUAACACGUGGGUGAUCUGCCCUGCACUUCGGGAUAAGCUUGGGAAACUGGGUCUAAUACCGGAUAGGAGCCAUCUUUAGUGUGGUGGUUGGAAAGUUUUUUCGGUGUAGGAUGAGCUCGCGGCCUAUCAGCUUGUUGGUGGGGUAAUGGCCUACCAAGGCGGCGGCGGGUAGCCGGCCUGAGAGGGUGUACGGCCACAUUGGGACUGAGAGACGGCCCAGACGCCUACGGGAGGCAGCAGUGGGGAAUAUUGCACAAUGGGCGCAAGCCUGAUGCAGCGACGCCGCGGGGGGGAGGAAGGCCUUCGGGUUGUAAACUCCUUUCGCUAGGGACGAAGCUUUUUGUGACGGUACCUAGAUAAGAAGCACCGGCUAACUACGUG
Molecule: ribosomal RNA, 465 nt
Filed under: uncultured bacterium
Lineage: Bacteria
Description: partial 16S ribosomal RNA
Rfam family: Bacterial small subunit ribosomal RNA
Source: RNAcentral